RNAcentral lists this non-coding RNA (23 nucleotides) under Cricetulus griseus (Chinese hamster). Lineage: Eukaryota; Metazoa; Chordata; Mammalia; Rodentia; Cricetidae. The record is from RNAcentral.
GGGCAAAACUUAGUUGGCUGUGG